Molecule: long non-coding RNA, 469 nt
Organism: Malania oleifera
Lineage: Eukaryota; Viridiplantae; Streptophyta; Magnoliopsida; Santalales; Ximeniaceae
Exons: 3
Source: RefSeq, a predicted model, not a curated record
GCUUAAAACAAAACCCUUGAAUGAGGGUUUUCCUGGAAGACUAAUUCCAGCAAAGGAUUCCUAUGUAAGCAAAUACGAUUUUCAGGUGGUGCUUGCAUUGCUGAAUCUAGGAAGGGAUUUAAUAGUAGCAAUUGGAAAAUGAAUCGGAAGCUAGCAAUUUCAGAAGAGUUCCCAAAAUAUGAAUCGGAAGAAUUCCCAAAAUAUGAAUGGAGAGCUAUUAUGGAAAAGUAUCUAAUAUCCAACCUUAAACAUGUGCUACAUAAAAGGAUCUUCAUGUGUGCCGAGGUGCCGAUGAAGGUGCUCAAAUAUCCUUCGAAUAUUCCUUGUAUUUCUCUGUAUUUUAUGCAUUCCCCUAUAUUUCCAUGUAUUUCUAUAUAUUUCCCCCUCAUUUCCUUAUAUUUCAUGUAUUUCCUUGUAUUUUCCCACAUUUCCCUAUAUUGCAUGUAUUUUCCUGUAUUUGGCCUUUCUA